Molecule: small nucleolar RNA, 137 nt
Filed under: Pediculus humanus corporis (human body louse)
Lineage: Eukaryota; Metazoa; Arthropoda; Insecta; Psocodea; Pediculidae
Description: small nucleolar RNA SNORA53
Source: Rfam by way of RNAcentral
AGCACGUUCCUUAAGUCCACCUUUUGAAACUAUGACGAUUAACGAAAGUUUCAGCUGAUUUGCUAUCAGUUAUAAAAGGUGAAUGAGUCAUAGGCGUGCUAGAUUAAAUUUUACUGUUACAAAUCAUCAAAAACAGU